This 405-nucleotide ribosomal RNA is filed under the name uncultured bacterium. RNAcentral describes it as "bacterial SSU rRNA". It matches the Rfam family "Bacterial small subunit ribosomal RNA", at positions 352 to 774 of the family's 1533-position model. The record is from RNAcentral.
CAGUGGGGAAUAUUGCGCAAUGGGGGAAACCCUGACGCAGCAACGCCGCGUGAGUGAUGAAGGUCUUCGGAUUGUAAAACUCUGUCUUCAGGGACGAUAAUGACGGUACCUGAGGAGGAAGCCACGGCUAACUACGUGCCAGCAGCCGCGGUAAUACGUAGGUGGCAAGCGUUGUCCGGAUUUACUGGGCGUAAAGAGUAUGUAGGCGGAUAUUUAAGUCAGAUGUGAAAUUCCCGGGCUUAACCUGGGAGCUGCAUUUGAUACUGGAUAUCUAGAGUGCAGGAGAGGAAAGUGGAAUUCCUAGUGUAGCGGUGAAAUGCGUAGAGAUUAGGAAGAACACCAGUAGCGAAGGCGACUUUCUGGACUGUAACUGACGCUGAGAUACGAAAGCGUGGGGAGCAAACA